CACAGUCUUUUUCUUAUUUGAUCUAUUAACUUUUUCUAGUCUUCACUCUGCCAAGGAAAGGCGAGAGAAAAGCGUGACAAAAAAUUCAUGAACUCCACCUCUUCUGCAGCUCUCCUGCUCCUUUCCUAAAUCCAAACAUUAAUUUUUCCAUUCUCUCUUCCUCCUUUACAACAAAAACCUUCUCCGCUAUUUUAUUUUCUGAUUUUUUCACUUCACUGUUCCCUUCAUUUUCUCCGAUUAUACCCAAAUUGCUCAACUCGGGCCUUGCCUCCACCCUCCAAAAACUUUGAUCGAUUCUUAAAGCUCCAAAUUACACGGUGUGGUUCAUUUUAAUUUUCUAGGAAUCAGGGCGUGAGUUGGUUGAGUCAACCCUGAGAAGAUGUUUUUCACCGGUGAUCCAACUACUCGGAAGCGAGUUGAUUUGGGAGGCCG
RNAcentral lists this unclassified non-coding RNA (432 nucleotides) under Hevea brasiliensis (rubber tree). The record is from RNAcentral. Lineage: Eukaryota; Viridiplantae; Streptophyta; Magnoliopsida; Malpighiales; Euphorbiaceae.